CGAAUGAACAGGAACAAGCCUAGUUUGGAAAUUAAGGUUGAUGACCUUGACUUGUUUCUUCAGAUGCUAUCCCAGCAAAGGUGCACAUGUAGAUGUUUUGGAAAAGGAUUUCGAGGAAGGUGACAUGCCUGUCUGAGAUGUGUGGUCCUUUGUAUACGGGAUGCGUUUCAUGAGUCACGUUCCUUGAAAUUGGAACGCAAAGUAGGUGGUAAUUUUCACCCAAGGCUACUUAUGAGUGUGAAACCGAUAGCAAACAAGUACCAUGAGGGAAACAUGAAAAAGGACUUUGAAAAGAGAGUUAAAAGUGCUUGAAAUUGCUGAACUGGAAGCGAAGGAUGUUUGAAUGCCGUGAUAGAUUGCUAUAAUUGGUUGCUGCUCUUGAGAUUGCCUAAGGUGAUCUUAUAGAUGGGGCAACAUGGUUGUAGUGUUGCUGUCUUGGUGUGCUAGUGCCCUCAUGAGUUGGAGCAUGCAGUCUGGAGCAUGGAAGCUCGCUGGUUGAGUGUGUGAAUGCUGUAGUUGCUGCUUGGACAUGUUAGGUUUGGCAGCUUCUUUUAGGGAUGCAUCUGUUCCCUUCUGGGUGGCAUAUCCUAUCCUUGUAUGUAAGUUGCUGAUACUAGUGAAUAAACACCUUUCGACCCGUCUU
RNAcentral lists this ribosomal RNA (643 nucleotides) under Tripos brevis. RNAcentral's name for it is "LSU rRNA". It matches the Rfam family "Eukaryotic large subunit ribosomal RNA", at positions 90 to 655 of the family's 3401-position model. Lineage: Eukaryota; Dinophyceae; Gonyaulacales; Ceratiaceae. The record is from RNAcentral.